This 428-nucleotide ribosomal RNA is filed under the name uncultured bacterium. RNAcentral describes it as "bacterial SSU rRNA". It matches the Rfam family "Bacterial small subunit ribosomal RNA", at positions 355 to 775 of the family's 1533-position model. The record is from RNAcentral.
UGGGGAAUAUUGGACAAUGGGGGCAACCCUGAUCCAGCGAUGCCGCGUGGGUGAAGAAGGCCUUCGGGUUGUAAAGCCCUUUAGGUUGGGAAGAAGUUUAUACAUUGAUAAGGUGUAUAGAUUGACGGUACCGACAGAAUAAGCACCGGCAAACUCUGUGCCAGCAGCCGCGGUAAUACAGAGGGUGCGAGCGUUAAUCGGAAUUACUGGGCGUAAAGGGCGCGUAGGCGGUGACAUGGGUGUGAUGUGAAAGCCCUGGGCUUAACCUAGGAAGUGCAUCGCAAACUAUGGAACUGGAGUAUAUGAGAGGGUGGCGGAAUUUCCGGUGUAGCGGUGAAAUGCGUAGAGAUCGGAAGGAACGUCGAUGGCGAAGGCAGCCACCUGGCAUAAUACUGACGCUGAGGCGCGAAAGCAUGGGGAGCGAACAG